GAAAGAAAAGGUCACUUUACAGUGACUCAGUUUCCUCCUCAGUCCCGGUGAUGAUUAGAAAUCUUCCCUGUGGUCAUCCCUACAUUCAGCCGAGGAUGGAGCUGGCCAUCGUCUUAAGCCCCUCCUCAUUCAAUCUAUCAGGAGGGGAUUUGCUUCUCCAGCCCUGCGAGAUGUAGUUCCAGUUUAUCUUGGGAGUUGAUGGGAAAAUCAGAUUUCCUUUACAGAAGGCCAUUUUAUAGUCGGUCCGGUUGGCCUCCAUUAGUCUUAUAAAGCAAGGAUUCCCAGCAUUCCCCCGGGCAGGUGGGGUGAGGGGCUUUUAGAGGGGAAGCUCCCCCGCCCACCGCCAGUCUGUUGGGGCAGAGGCGGGAGGAUUGUGCGUACAGCAUAAUAGCUAGCCUUCGAUAACAAACGAAUGCCUAAGGUUUUUCCCGGUGCUUUACAAAUCUUCGGAGCAAAGCAACCCUGGGAUGGAGGGUGGGCACCCUUAUUCUUUCAUUUUGCGGAUGAGGAAACUGAGGCAGACAAAAGUGAAGCGACUUGCCCAGGGCACUCAACUAGGAAGUGUCUGAGUCUUGCUGACUAGCAGUGACUAGUGGAUCUACCCAAGAUCCACUUGGAUGCCCAGCUGCAUCAUGGCCCCAGCGGAUUGGACAUACUUGGGGUCAAGGAGAAUUGGGUUCAAAUCUUGCUUCCCAGACUUAGUAGCUGUGUGACUCUAGUCAAGUCCCGUAAACUCUCCUGGCUGGCCUCAGUUUCCUCACCGGACAAUGCAGGACGGUUGGGCUCUCUGGUCUUUAAGUCCGUGAUCCAAGUGCGCCCCGCCCACAGGUGAUGGUGGUUCUGAGCUUCUCUUUCUCAGCACUGGCAAUGCUCCCUAGACCCCCAGUUCCCCUCCACCUCCUCUUUGCCCAUAUUACUCUCAUGUGGGAAUCACAAGAUCUGGGCCAUUGUGGAAGAGAUAAAAGCCUUCAUGAUCAUCACAAGUUGGAAAAGCCACCCAUGGGGGAAUGCACAAGUCAACAGAGAUGAGAAAUGCCGAAAGCCAGAGUGCCUCAGGAAACAGCAGAGCCACCAGGGAUCCCAGGUACCAGUCUGUCUCACCCUGUUAAUGUGCUCCAUGGAAAUGAUCUUGGCUUCACCUGAUGGCACCCAGGACCAUCUGCCUUCACAUCAUCUGGCAGAACCCUGGCCUUGGAUUCCACCUUGAUGGCACAGAUUCAUGGAAUGCAGCACAAAACCCAGUGGAUCCUCCAGGACCCAGAUGUCACGCUACUCCCUGGGACAUACUUUCCUUGCCCGCUCUGGCAGUCUCGGUCCCCAAGCCAUGUCCCUGCCAUGUCGACACUGUCCUAGGAGCCUGGCGUAACUAUUGAGGGGGCCCAAAGGACCCCCUGAAACCGGGUGGCUCUGUGCUGUCUGAUAUUUUAAUGGCUUUGACCAGUCAGCCGGGUACCACGCAUGGGACAUUGUUGGCUUACAGCAGCCAGCCUGGGAGGGAGGUGCCUCAUUCAGGGCUCUGCAUCGAAGGCGCCCUUUCACCUACACCCAAGUGUUGGGAACCAUGCAAUGGAACACAGCCCAGGCUCUUGGGGCCAAUGACUGGCCACUCUUCCAAGAACAAAGGAAUUCAUCCAUAAGAAAAAAAUGGCAGGCCACACUGAUUCUGGGAAUGGGGUCAAUUCUGCCCCAGUUGGCCCCGUUGACCAGUUUGGGGCCAGAGAAUGGGUGAAUUGCUGCCUUCAGGGGGCACUGGUCUCCCUUGUGAGUAAUCAUUGACAUUGAAGACUGAAAUAGGUGACUUGAUGUCCAUUCAAUCUGAGCUUUGGUGGGAAGUUGGGAAAGGGGUCAAUCCUGCCUCAGUUGGCCUUGUGGGCCAGUUUGGGGCCAGAGAAUGGGUGACUUGCUGCCUUCAGGGGGCACUGGUCUCCCUCAUGAGUAGUCAAGGAAUAAUGAAGACUCUGAAAUUGGUGACUUGAUGUCUAUUCAAUUUGAGCUUUGGUGGGAAGUUGGGAAAGGGGUCAAUCCUGCCUCAGUUGGCCUUGUGGGCCAGUUUGGGGCCAGAGAAUGGGUGAAUUGCUGCCUUCAGGAGGCACUGGUCUCCCUUAUGAGUAGUCAAGGAACAAUGAAGACUCUGAAAUUGGUGACUUGAUGUCUAUUCAAUUUGAGCUUUGGUGGGAAGUUGGGAAAGGGGUCAAUCCUGCCUCAGU
Molecule: long non-coding RNA, 2207 nt
Organism: Monodelphis domestica (gray short-tailed opossum)
Lineage: Eukaryota; Metazoa; Chordata; Mammalia; Didelphimorphia; Didelphidae
Source: Ensembl